This 332-nucleotide ribosomal RNA is filed under the name uncultured eukaryote. Its description in RNAcentral is "partial 18S ribosomal RNA". It matches the Rfam family "Eukaryotic small subunit ribosomal RNA", at positions 1470 to 1796 of the family's 1831-position model. The record is from RNAcentral.
CCCUUAGAUGUUCUGGGCCGCACGCGCGCUACACUGACGGAUUCAACGAGCUUACAACCUUGGCCGAAAGGUCUGGGUAAUCUCCAAAAUCCGUCGUGAUGGGGAUAGAUUAUUGCAAUUAUUAAUCUUCAACGAGGAAUGCCUAGUAAGCGCAAGUCAUCAGCUUGCGUUGAUUACGUCCCUGCCCUUUGUACACACCGCCCGUCGCUACUACCGAUUGGAUGGUUUAGCGAGAACUUUGGACCGGAGCUCGGGUGGUCAGCAAUGGCCGCCCGAGACAUACUGGGAAAUCGCUCCAGCUUGAUCAUCUAGAGGAAGUAAAAGUCGUAACA